This 433-nucleotide ribosomal RNA is filed under the name uncultured bacterium. RNAcentral describes it as "partial 16S ribosomal RNA". It matches the Rfam family "Bacterial small subunit ribosomal RNA", at positions 29 to 507 of the family's 1533-position model. The record is from RNAcentral.
AGCGAACGCUGGCGGCAGGCCUAACACAUGCAAGUCGAACGAACUCUUCGGAGUUAGUGGCGGACGGGUGAGUAACCCGUGGGAACGUGCCUUUUGGUUCGGAAUAACUCAGGGAAACUUGUGCUAAUACCGAAUGUGCCCUUCGGGGGAAAGAUUUAUCGCCAUUAGAGCGGCCCGCGUCUGAUUAGCUAGUUGGUGAGGUAACGGCUCACCAAGGCGACGAUCAGUAGCUGGUCUGAGAGGAUGACCAGCCACACUGGGACUGAGACACGGCCCAGACUCCUACGGGAGGCAGCAGUGGGGAAUCUUGCGCAAUGGGCGAAAGCCUGACGCAGCCAUGCCGCGUGAAUGAUGAAGGUCUUAGGAUUGUAAAGUUCUUUCAACGGGGACGAUAAUGACGGUACCCGGAGAAGAAGCCCCGGCUAACUUCGUG